Molecule: ribosomal RNA, 253 nt
Filed under: uncultured bacterium
Lineage: Bacteria
Description: partial 16S ribosomal RNA
Rfam family: Bacterial small subunit ribosomal RNA
Source: RNAcentral
UACGUAGGGGGCGAGCGUUGUCCGGAAUUAUUGGGCGUAAAGCGCGCGUAGGCGGUCUGUUAAGUCCGAUGUGAAAACUCUCGGCUCAACUGGGAGAGGCCAUUGGAAACUGAUGGGCUAGAGUGCAGGAGAGGGAAGUGGAAUUCCUAGUGUAGCGGUGAAAUGCGCAGAUAUUAGGAAGAACACCAGUGGCGAAGGCGGCUUCCUGGACUGUUACUGACGCUGAGGUGCGAAAGCUAGGGGAGCGAACAGG